UGAAAGCCAGCCAGAAGGUGAUGGGGUGU
Molecule: non-coding RNA, 29 nt
Filed under: Homo sapiens (human)
Lineage: Eukaryota; Metazoa; Chordata; Mammalia; Primates; Hominidae
Source: RNAcentral